AACGUAAUUUAAUGGUAGAAUUCCAGCUUCCCAAGCUGAUUGCACGGGUUCGAUUCCCGCCGUUC
Molecule: transfer RNA, 65 nt
Filed under: human gut metagenome
Also listed under: 1 other name
Rfam family: tRNA
About the family: Transfer RNA (tRNA) molecules are approximately 80 nucleotides in length.
Source: RNAcentral